UACGUAGGUCCCGAGCGUUGUCCGGAUUUAUUGGGCGUAAAGCGAGCGCAGGUGGUUUAUUAAGUCUGGUGUAAAAGGCAGUGGCUCAACCAUUGUAUGCAUUGGAAACUGGUAGACUUGAGUGCAGGAGAGGAGAGUGGAAUUCCAUGUGUGGCGGUGAAAUGCGUAGAUAUAUGGAGGAACACCGGUGGCGAAAGCGGCUCUCUGGCCUGUAACUGACACCGAGGCUCGAAAGCGUGGGGAGCAAACAGG
Molecule: ribosomal RNA, 252 nt
Filed under: uncultured bacterium
Lineage: Bacteria
Description: partial 16S ribosomal RNA
Rfam family: Bacterial small subunit ribosomal RNA
Source: RNAcentral